This 234-nucleotide unclassified non-coding RNA is filed under the name Hevea brasiliensis (rubber tree). The record is from RNAcentral. Lineage: Eukaryota; Viridiplantae; Streptophyta; Magnoliopsida; Malpighiales; Euphorbiaceae.
GCGACGGCAAGAGCCACCAGAAACAGCGGCAAGAGAGGGAGGAGAGAGAAAAAACGCGUGCACAGUGGGCAGCGACUUUCCGGUGCGAUUCCGGCUUCAUCCGACGUCUGAUCGAGGCGAUUCAGGUGGCGUUUAAAAACUUGUUUCGAGAGCUUUCUUUUGAUACCAAUUUUGCAGCAAAUGAAGAUUUGAUGAAUGAGAUAUGGAGGAAAGAAGUUUCGGGUUUUUCAAGCU